CGCUUAGAAGCUAACAGGUUUCAGCAUUAACCUUUUAAGUUAACUCUCGGUGACUACCAACCACCCUCAGCGA
RNAcentral lists this transfer RNA (73 nucleotides) under Monopterus albus (swamp eel). RNAcentral describes it as "tRNA-Lys". Lineage: Eukaryota; Metazoa; Chordata; Actinopteri; Synbranchiformes; Synbranchidae. The record is from RNAcentral.